This 894-nucleotide ribosomal RNA is filed under the name uncultured bacterium. Its description in RNAcentral is "bacterial SSU rRNA". It matches the Rfam family "Bacterial small subunit ribosomal RNA", at positions 359 to 1276 of the family's 1533-position model. The record is from RNAcentral.
GCCUUGCAAUGGGAGACUCUGUGCAGCAACGCCGCGUGAACGAAGAAGGCUUUCGAGUCGUAAAGUUCUGUUAUAGGGGAAGAAGAAGUGACGGUACCCUAUGAGAAAGCCACGGCUAAUUACGUGCCAGCAGCCGCGGUAAUACGUAAGUGGCAAGCGUUAUCCGGAAUUACUGGGCAUAAAGAGUUCGUAGGCGGUUAAUCAAGCCAGCUAGUGAAAGCCAUCGGCCUAACCGAUGUCAGCUAAUGGAACUGGUUAACUUGAGUACAGGAGAGGAAAGUGGAAUUCCUAGUGUAGUAGUGAAAUGCGUAGAUAUUAGGAAGAACAUCAGUAGCGAAGGCGACUUUCUGGACUGUAACUGACGCUGAGGAACGAAAGCGUGGGGAGCGAACAGGAUUAGAUACCCUGGUAGUCCACGCCGUAAACGAUGGAUACUUGGUGUUGGCCGUAAAGGUCGGUGCCGGAGCAAAUGUAUUAAGUAUCCCGCCUGGGGAGUACGGUCGCAAGGCUGAAACUCAAAAGAAUUGACGGGGACCCGCACAAGCAGCGGAGCAUGUGGUUUAAUUCGAAGCAACGCGAAGAACCUUACCAAAUCUUGACAUAUCAAAGCUAUCUGAGUAAAAUUGGAGUUCCAUUUGGACUUUGAAUACAGGUGGUGCAUGGUUGUCGUCAGCUCGUGUCGUGAGAUGUUGGGUUAAGUCCCGUAACGAGCGCAACCCUUAUUUUUAGUUGCUAACAGGUCAAGCUGAGGACUCUAGAGAGACUGCCGAUGAAAAAAUCGGAGGAAGGUGGGGAUGACGUCAAAUCAUCAUGCCCCUUAUGAUUUGGGCUACACACGUGCUACAAUGGCCCGGUACAACGGGUAAGCGAAAGGGUGACCUGGAGCCAAUCUCA